CUCUGUCACAGUAAGACAUAUAUAACUGCUGUGAUACUGAAAUUACUUAAUUAUUUCAAUCUCCCAGUGAGGACGUGGAAAAUCACGUGUUUGAUUGUGAAUCAAUUCCACGGGGCAGCUGAGCGUGCAGGAGAAGCAUUUGUGCGUGUAGCUCUUUCUACGUGUGUGAGUGCUGGGGGUGAUGCCUGGACACCACAGCUUUCAGAGUGAACAAAAACAGAGAGAAAGUGGCAGGGGCUGGUUUUCUUAGCUACCUGCUCGGCAGUGAGUGCUGUAAUCAGUCCUCGCUGUUCUCAUGGAUAGCCGGCCCGGCCUACAAGCAGCGCCGAGAUACAGCCGACAGGCCUGUGGAAUCUGGUUUAUUGCACCGGCGUGGCCACGUCCUGCUGGGGCACGGGGAGCAGCAAGCCCACAGCCACAGACCUCCUACCUUGCCAGAAAGCCUCUGGAAGGCAGACUGACCAUGUCCAAGGCUUCUGAUGGAGGCCUGGCCAAAGAACCUUUUACUCUCCAUGUUCACAGUCUGCUUGCAUGGCUCUUCCAAAAGUAGUCCAUUUGCUCCUCCCUGGCUCUUCUCUCUCCUCCUGACCCCACCUCUGCAACGACUGCUGAGACACCCUCUGCCUAAGGAGAGGAAGGUGGACAAAUGCAUUUACAGACGGAGCUGACAGUAGGUAGCAGAUCACGCAAAUAACACUAGGGGUGGGGUCUGCAAGGGUUCCUGAGAUUUAAGGAGCCACAAAGCCCAUUUUAGAUCCCAAUCUCUGUGGAGUUUAUGUUGUAGGGGCACACUGGUAUAUCCAUGCUGUGCUGUGGCAUGCUGAGCAGCAGACUGGUGGCCCAGCUGGUCAUAAGCAAGUUCCAGCUAGGUGAUAUCUUCUUGUGCUUCCCCAGAGAUGGAUUUGCUGCACAGCCCUGGAGAACAGAGGUCAUCAUGAAACUUUUGGCUCGUUUGAGGAGUGAAAUAUAAUAUAAUAUUGCACCUGAAGAGAGCCCCCAAAAGUGAGAUGGUUGCACAAGGUAGAAACCCAGGGAAAUGUUAAACAUCACAGGUAAAUAAAAAUGGAGGUGGGGAGAGUUGCCAUUCAUUCUUCCUUCUCUUUCUGUGUCUCUCUGGUCUCUGAAUACUGGGGCUGUUGCAUCAGGAAUUGGUUUUAUUUUAUGAUCAGGUAUGUCAUACUUGGUUAUUAAAUACAAAUGGAACAAGUUUGAACUAUAUAGAAAAACUCUUCACUCUUUUAUAUUCCUGUAGAGAACAUGAAAUCUCAGGAAAUUAUAAUUACUGAAACAAACUGCUCUGCGGUGAUGGCUGUAAUAAUGAUUGUACUUUAAGACUAGGUAUUACAGCAGCUACCUCUAGAAUGCUUCUGUGCACUACCCUGCUGGCAGUAAUGCUGUGCUGUGGAAUCAGACUCAGAGAUAAAAUUAAUUCUAGCGAUGAGUGAUAAAUCAAUUCCUCACUGCUUUCUUUUGAUUCUGUGUAUGAUUUAAAAAAUGCUGCCUUUUUAGAGAAAGCUCUUUCUGUAUCCUUGUUAUCAUUUUCAUUCAAUACACUUGAUAAGCAAAGGACAAAUAUUCUGGAGAGUCCUCAUUUCAAACCCUUGAUUUCUGACCUUGCAAACAAAUAAUUUUCCUGGAAAAUCAUACUAAGACUUAGAAAAUUACACCCUUUGAGGAGGAUUUUCCUAGAUACACAGGAAGCAAUUAAAUCUCACUGCAUUUCUCAUAUUUUCUCUUUGAGGUCUGCCGAUUCCAAAAACGUGCAAGACCCAGCUAUGCCUUAGUGAAACCACCAGAUGUUCUUGCACAGGUCACUGGGUGUGAUGGGGAAAGGCGUUUUCCCAGAUUGCCUGCUGCAGGGAAGGAGGAUCGAGAGGAGACCCAGGGAAACACAGCUGCUUACAGUAACGCCUCUCCUGGGUUGCUAAGCCUAAUUUUAUUUUUUUGCA
Passer domesticus (house sparrow) is the source of this 1949-nucleotide long non-coding RNA. RefSeq lists it as uncharacterized. The transcript is spliced from 3 exons. The record is from RefSeq and is a predicted model, not a curated record. NCBI's taxonomy places the organism in Eukaryota, Metazoa, Chordata, Aves, Passeriformes, Passeridae.